This 45-nucleotide non-coding RNA is filed under the name Schistosoma haematobium. The record is from RNAcentral. Lineage: Eukaryota; Metazoa; Platyhelminthes; Trematoda; Strigeidida; Schistosomatidae.
AUCCAGUUGAUGAGUCUGAAAUAGGACAAAACGCACGUCCUAGAU